RNAcentral lists this long non-coding RNA (370 nucleotides) under Elaeis guineensis (African oil palm). Its description in RNAcentral is "long non-coding RNA (EGUI_LNC063206)". The record is from RNAcentral. Lineage: Eukaryota; Viridiplantae; Streptophyta; Magnoliopsida; Arecales; Arecaceae.
CAACAUGUCCAACAUGCUUGUAUGUAUGCAUCUCAUGUAUUUUACAUGUGCAUGUGUGCAUUCUCUUGUUAGUUUUUGGAAGAAAGCUCAAUGGUGGUUGGCAUCAACUUAAAAGACAAGGGAGGUAGGAGCUAAGUCCCUGUCCCUUUACACAAGAUAAAGUUGAUUUCUAUCUUUUCCGACCAAAAAUUAAAAAGAGAAUGUGAUAAGGUUGAUUUUGCCAAAGAGAAUGGAAGAGACGCAUGGUUAGGUGUGCUUAUAUCCUAUCCCCGUGCAUAUAGAGUAACCUCAACCUCAAGUUUCCCAUUGACUCAUUGGUCCCAUGACCCAUUCGGUACAAUGAGUGUGGACUAGCUAAGCAUAGUACCUU